CCUUCAGGACUGUUUACAUCUUUCAGAUUAAGGGCAGGAAGAAAUCUAUAUAUCUAUGAUAUAUCUGCUUUAUAUGUCAGAAUGCCUAGUGCCCAAUGACAAACCACUAUUCUGCAGCCAUCAGUGUGGGCCCUUGGUAGAAUGCAAAGCAGAAUGACGACUUGAAAUCAGGAAACAAGAGGCAUCUGCAAAGACCUGCUGUAUAAGGAACUGUCAAAAUAAGAUGACGAGGAACAGGAAAGCCAAGCAGUCUGAAGUUCUCAGGGAAGCCUGAAUCUGAACAGACGAUAACUUCACGGUUGAAAUCCGAGCGCAGAGUGAGGGGGUAUUUGGGUAUUUCCAAGACCUCAUUCCUUUCUGUAUCAAUAUGAGCUCAUUCUUUAAUGCUGCUGGUAUACUGAACACCAAAUAAAAACAGCCACAUGCUUUAAAGCUCCUUCCCUGAUAUGAUAAUUAUUAUUUUAUUUGAAACAAGAAUAACCAUGCCCUUUUAAAUGAUGUUCCAAUGAUCUUUUUUUUUUUCUUUUUAUGUAUUCAAAUAACUUAUGAGCUA
Polyodon spathula (Mississippi paddlefish) is the source of this 553-nucleotide long non-coding RNA. RefSeq lists it as uncharacterized. The transcript is spliced from 3 exons. Lineage: Eukaryota; Metazoa; Chordata; Actinopteri; Acipenseriformes; Polyodontidae. The record is from RefSeq and is a predicted model, not a curated record.